RNAcentral lists this ribosomal RNA (253 nucleotides) under uncultured bacterium. Its description in RNAcentral is "partial 16S ribosomal RNA". It matches the Rfam family "Bacterial small subunit ribosomal RNA", at positions 524 to 776 of the family's 1533-position model. The record is from RNAcentral.
UACGAAGGGGGCGAGCGUUGUUCGGAUUUACUGGGCGUAAAGGGCGCGCAGGCGGCUAUCCAAGUCAGGCGUGAAAGCCCCGGGCUUAACCUGGGAGGUGCGUCUGGGACUGGGUGGCUAGAGUUCGGGAGAGGAGAGUGGAAUUCCCAGUGUAGAGGUGAAAUUCGUAGAUAUUGGGAAGAACACCGAUGGCGAAGGCAGCCUUCUGGGCCAACACUGACGCUCAUGCACGAAAGCGUGGGGAGCAAACAGG